CUCACUACCCUUUGCUUUCCCAUUCCUUCUCCUCACCUCAACCAAAAACCCUAGCGACUCCAAAGCUGUUCAUCCUCACCGUCAACUCCAAUGCCGUCGCCACUCAUCUCACCGUCGCCGUCCUCAAACCAGCUAAUUUGCUCGGGUCGUCCCGUUGGACCCGCCUCCUCCGUCCACGUCCCCGGUCGCCGUCACCCAUCUCUGUCGCCCAUAUUCAUCCGCAUCCCCUUCCGCUCUCGAUUCCGCAACUCCAGUCGCCAUCGCCCCUUUCUGCUCUUGAUUCCUCAUGAGGUUCGAUCAAUCAUUCCAUUUUCGCCUCUUUCUUGGUUGUCAUGUGCUUGUGCUCUGCAAACGAACGGUUGGUAUUUGCACUGCGAGUCUGGGAUGCUUUGUUUCUCGGUGGGGUGGGGAAUGUGAGAGCGAUUGCGAAUGGUUGGUGUUUGUGCCACGAGUUCUUAGGUAGAUUUCACUUGAGCGAGAACGAGAAGCGAGAAGCCCAAGUUCUUGGGGCAACUUUCAGCUGCGACGGGUUUUCGCUGCUGAGGCCACCAGGGUAAGAAGCCCGCAUUUUGAAUGAGAAACAUGGGAUGGAUUGGAGGGGUUUGCAUUUCCAUUUGUUAUGAGGAAAGUGAAGAAUGGCUAUUUGGACUGCAUUUUUUUGCUCUGCAUAUUGCAAGUAUGGCUUGUGGAACUUCUCAUGGGCAUUCAUGUACUGUUACUAGUGCAGGGCACUUGGGAUUUUAUGAACGGCAUAAUAAAUGGUGAUUGACUAGGUUUUCUUAUUGGAACUAUUCUCAAUAGCAUAGAAAACUUUCUCCAUGUUCCGGUUGUGGAUUUUUGUGUGUAUGUUGUGCGGGCAAGGCAGGUGUUGGUUGAUUUUCACGUGGACUAUGAGAUAUUUAAGGACACCUCAGUGACCUUUGUUAUGUUUAUUUCGUUGUCUAUGCUUGUGUUAUUGCAGAUAUGGGAUGGAUUGAAGGGGUUUGCAUUUCCAUUUGUUUGUUCCUCUUGAAUCCCCGAUUGACAUUGCUUAGUAGAAGUCUUAUGUAUUGUAUCAAUUUCUUGCUGGUGCAAACUCUAAAGCCAGGAGUGACUUGCUUUUGGAUUCCAUUUGCAUCUCUCCCGUGUUCAAAACACUAAGAAAUGUUUCUCAUCUCAUCCUUAAUGCUACCGGACCAAGACUACUGGAAUAAUAAUAUGCCGGAAAUUCCAUGAAAUUGUAUCUUCAGCUUUUGUAAUGAAUUAGUAUUAUUUCGAC
Molecule: long non-coding RNA, 1258 nt
Filed under: Eucalyptus grandis
Lineage: Eukaryota; Viridiplantae; Streptophyta; Magnoliopsida; Myrtales; Myrtaceae
Description: long non-coding RNA (EGRA_LNC006383)
Source: RNAcentral